RNAcentral lists this ribosomal RNA (490 nucleotides) under uncultured bacterium. RNAcentral describes it as "partial 16S ribosomal RNA". It matches the Rfam family "Bacterial small subunit ribosomal RNA", at positions 30 to 507 of the family's 1533-position model. The record is from RNAcentral.
AUUGAACGCUGGCGGCAUGCCUUACACAUGCAAGUCGAACGGCAGCAUGAUCUAGCUUGCUAGAUUGAUGGCGAGUGGCGAACGGGUGAGUAAUACAUCGGAACGUGCCCUGUAGUGGGGGAUAACUAGUCGAAAGAUUAGCUAAUACCGCAUACGACCUGAGGGUGAAAGUGGGGGACCGCAAGGCCUCAUGCUAUAGGAGCGGCCGAUGUCUGAUUAGCUAGUUGGUGAGGUAAAGGCUCACCAAGGCGACGAUCAGUAGCUGGUCUGAGAGGACGAUCAGCCACACUGGGACUGAGACACGGCCCAGACUCCUAAGGGAGGCAGCAGUGGGGAAUUUUGGACAAUGGGCGAAAGCCUGAUCCAGCAAUGCCGCGUGUGUGAAGAAGGCCUUCGGGUUGUAAAGCACUUUUGUCCGGAAAGAAAUGGCUCUGGUUAAUACCUGGGGUCGAUGACGGUACCGGAAGAAUAAGGACCGGCUAACUACGUG